Molecule: long non-coding RNA, 1028 nt
Organism: Oreochromis aureus
Lineage: Eukaryota; Metazoa; Chordata; Actinopteri; Cichliformes; Cichlidae
Source: Ensembl
GUUCCAGAGUGUCAUCAUUCAUUGAUUAGCUAAAUCUGCUAACACUUUGGCAAGAAGAACUCAACUUAAUAUUCUUUAAAAAUAUAAAAUCAUAUGAGGAAAGCCAGCAUAAGAGUCAAACCUGACUAUUCAAAUAAAUGAGGGGCUGCACUUUUUAUUCAGAGGCCAGUGCUGGUUUGAACACCGUCUAAUGGUGCUUCCAGUGUUGCUGCGUCGAGACGCCGCGAUUGCCGUUAUUGAUAUACAAAACGAGCAAUCAUGGAGAGAGUUGGAGGCGAAGGAAACCACAAGUGCCUAAUCACGUCUGUGAAAUUUUACAGCUGCACGGAGCUUCAGAAAGCUUUGUUUUCUUCAGUCCCCCUAAAAUGUGCAGUGUGGAGAGCGUUUUAGGAAACAGCAAUGUUUCAGGAGCUGGAAAAUGUCAAGUGGUCUCCGUGUAGAUCCCACAGCCCGCUCCUCCCCGCUUUACACACAGGCUCCUGCUCCCCAUAGGUUUUCUCCAGAAUAGCUAAAAGAAGGCUUUUCCUCCCCAAUGCCUCGACGGCAUUCCCUCUUCCCCCCCACCCCAUUCCUCUUUCUCCUGUCCCUUCAGCAGCCACCCCCAAUUACACACAACAGCUGCCAGUGUCCUUUGGAGGAAAAAUGAUGCGUGUCCAACAAAACUGAUCUCUUUCACCUCCUCCUGUACCUCCUCUCCUCUAUCAACCAGUUAACCCCCACCACACACUGCUCCGCCCCAGUUCGAUCCCCCUUGCACCUGAAGCAUGUACCACAUUACAUUCAGACAGGCAGCCAGAGAGCAGUGAUGAUGGCAGAUUUCCUGUCUACCAGGCAUGCACAUGUGAAAGCCCCGGGUUGCCUUUAGUACCUCGCCUGACAGAUACGCUGUUGCCGCUGUGGCGCACCAAAGCGCAGACUGUCUCUCACUCACGUGCACACAGAUCAGCAGACAUGACUGGGCCACGUCGACCGACCUAGCACCGAACAACUGCGCGAGCGGCUGAUUUUACUUGCCUGUUUGGGCUCUG